CGAGAAGACCGGAUGGCCGCGGCGCUACUAACAGGAACCGUUCCUUUGACAGGGGUAGGCCUGGUGUCGAGGAAAGUCCGGACUCCACAGAGCACGGUGGUUGCUAACGGCAACCCAGGGCAACCUGCGGGACAGUGCCACAGAAAGUAAACCGCCCACCAUUGCGAGUGGGUAAGGGUGAAAGGGUGCGGUAAGAGCGCACCAGCAUGCCAGGUGACUGGCGUGGCUAGGUAAACCCCACCGGGAGCAAGGUCAAGCGGCCGAACGGAAAGUUUGGCCGAGUUCUAGAGCUGCUCGCUUGCUAGUGAACAGGUAGACCGCUUGAGGCGCCCAGCGAUGGUGCGCACAGAUGGAUGGCCAUCUCGCGCCGGCACCUCCGCGUGCUGGUGUAGGACAAAAUCCGGCUUAGAGGUCUUCUCGGCCC
This 424-nucleotide RNase P RNA is filed under the name Corynebacterium suicordis. RNAcentral's name for it is "RNase P RNA component class A". It matches the Rfam family "Bacterial RNase P class A". From Rfam's summary of the family: Ribonuclease P (RNase P) is a ubiquitous endoribonuclease, found in archaea, bacteria and eukarya as well as chloroplasts and mitochondria. Its best characterised activity is the generation of mature 5'-ends of tRNAs by cleaving the 5'-leader elements of precursor-tRNAs. Cellular RNase Ps are ribonucleoproteins. RNAcentral also lists the same sequence under 1 other name. The record is from RNAcentral. Lineage: Bacteria; Bacillati; Actinomycetota; Actinomycetes; Mycobacteriales; Corynebacteriaceae.